This 253-nucleotide ribosomal RNA is filed under the name uncultured bacterium. RNAcentral's name for it is "partial 16S ribosomal RNA". It matches the Rfam family "Bacterial small subunit ribosomal RNA", at positions 524 to 776 of the family's 1533-position model. The record is from RNAcentral.
UACGUAGGUGGCAAGCGUUGUCCGGAUUUACUGGGUGUAAAGGGCGUGCAGCCGGAGAGACAAGUCAGAUGUGAAAUCCACGGGCUCAACCCGUGAACUGCAUUUGAAACUGUUUCCCUUGAGUGUCGGAGAGGUAAUCGGAAUUCCUUGUGUAGCGGUGAAAUGCGUAGAUAUAAGGAAGGACACCAGUGGCGAAGGCGGAUUACUGGACGAUAACUGACGGUGAGGCGCGAAAGCGUGGGGAGCAAACAGG